This 238-nucleotide ribosomal RNA is filed under the name uncultured bacterium. RNAcentral describes it as "partial 16S ribosomal RNA". It matches the Rfam family "Bacterial small subunit ribosomal RNA", at positions 96 to 334 of the family's 1533-position model. The record is from RNAcentral.
UGGCGGACGGGUGAGUAACGCGUGGGUAACCUGCCUCAUACAGGGGGAUAACGGUUAGAAAUGACUGCUAAUACCGCAUAAGCGCACAGUACCACAUGGUACGGUGUGAAAAACUCCGGUGGUAUGAGAUGGACCCGCGUCUGAUUAGCUGGUUGGUGGGGUAACGGCCCACCAAGGCGACGAUCAGUAGCCGACCUGAGAGGGUGACCGGCCACAUUGGGACUGAGACACGGCCCAG